AUGAACGCUGGCGGCGUGCCUAGUACAUGCAAGUCGAGCGCACAGACGAGGAGCUUGCUCCUCUGACGUUAGCGGCGGACGGGUGAGUAACACGUGGAUAACCUACCUAUAAGACUGGGAUAACUUCGGGAAACCGGAGCUAAUACCGGAUAAUAUAUUGAACCGCAUGGUUCAAUAGUGAAAGACGGUUUUGCUGUCACUUAUAGAUGGAUCCGCGCCGCAUUAGCUAGUUGGUAAGGUAACGGCUUUCCAAGGCGACGAUGCGUAGCCGACCUGAGAGGGUGAUCGGCCACACUGGAACUGAGACACGGUCCAGACUCCUACGGGAGGCAGCAGUAGGGAAUCUUCCGCAAUGGGCGAAAGCCUGACGGAGCAACGCCGCGUGAGUGAUGAAGGUCUUCGGAUCGUAAAACUCUGUUAUUAGGGAAGAACAAAUGUGUAAGUAACUAUGCACGUCUUGACGGUACCUAAUCAGAAAGCCACGGCUAACUACGUG
This 496-nucleotide ribosomal RNA is filed under the name uncultured bacterium. RNAcentral describes it as "partial 16S ribosomal RNA". It matches the Rfam family "Bacterial small subunit ribosomal RNA", at positions 29 to 507 of the family's 1533-position model. The record is from RNAcentral.